UACGUAGGUGGCGAGCGUUGUCCGGAUUUACUGGGCGUAAAGGGAGCGUAGGCGGACUUUUAAGUGAGAUGUGAAAUACCUGGGCUCAACUUGGGUGCUGCAUUUCAAACUGGAAGUCUAGAGUGCAGGAGAGGAGAAUGGAAUUCCUAGUGUAGCGGUGAAAUGCGUAGAGAUUAGGAAGAACACCAGUGGCGAAGGCGAUUCUCUGGACUGUAACUGACGCUGAGGCUCGAAAGCGUGGGGAGCAAACAGGAUUAGAUACCCCGGUA
This 269-nucleotide ribosomal RNA is filed under the name uncultured prokaryote. Its description in RNAcentral is "partial 16S ribosomal RNA". It matches the Rfam family "Bacterial small subunit ribosomal RNA", at positions 524 to 792 of the family's 1533-position model. The record is from RNAcentral.